RNAcentral lists this unclassified non-coding RNA (327 nucleotides) under soil metagenome. Its description in RNAcentral is "partial contains 5.8S ribosomal RNA, internal transcribed spacer 2, and large subunit ribosomal RNA". The stretch from base 1 to 120 matches the Rfam family "5.8S ribosomal RNA", at positions 35 to 154 of the family's 154-position model. The record is from RNAcentral.
GAUGAAGAACGUAGCGAAAUGCGAUAAGUAAUGUGAAUUGCAGAAUUCAGUGAAUCAUCGAAUCUUUGAACGCACAUUGCGCCCCUUGGUAUUCCGAGGGGCAUGCCUGUUCGAGCGUCAUUAUAACCCUCAAGCUCAGCUUGGUGUUGGGGCCUGCUGCAGUGGCAGCCCUUAAAAUCAGUGGCGGCGCCAUCUGGCUCUAAGCGUAGUAAUUCUUCUCGCUAUGGAGUCCUGGUGGAUGCUUGCCAUCAACCCCCAAUUUUUCUAUGGUUGACCUCGGAUCAGGUAGGGAUACCCGCUGAACUUAAGCAUAUCAAUAAGCGGAGA